UGGCGGACGGGUGAGUAAUGUCUGGGAAACUGCCUGAUGGAGGGGGAUAACUACUGGAAACGGUAGCUAAUACCGCAUAACGUCGCAAGACCAAAGAGGGGGACCUUCGGGCCUCUUGCCAUCGGAUGUGCCCAGAUGGGAUUAGCUAGUAGGUGGGGUAAAGGCUCACCUAGGCGACGAUCCCUAGCUGGUCUGAGAGGAUGACCAGCCACACUGGAACUGAGACACGGUCCAAACUCCUACGGGAGGCAGCAUG
RNAcentral lists this ribosomal RNA (256 nucleotides) under uncultured bacterium. RNAcentral describes it as "partial 16S ribosomal RNA". It matches the Rfam family "Bacterial small subunit ribosomal RNA", at positions 96 to 353 of the family's 1533-position model. The record is from RNAcentral.